This 1150-nucleotide ribosomal RNA is filed under the name Pediococcus pentosaceus. RNAcentral's name for it is "bacterial SSU rRNA". It matches the Rfam family "Bacterial small subunit ribosomal RNA", at positions 56 to 1169 of the family's 1533-position model. The record is from RNAcentral. Lineage: Bacteria; Bacillati; Bacillota; Bacilli; Lactobacillales; Lactobacillaceae.
UGCAAGUCGAACGAACUUCCGUUAAUUGAUUAUGACGUACUUGUACUGAUUGAGAUUUUAACACGAAGUGAGUGGCGAACGGGUGAGUAACACGUGGGUAACCUGCCCAGAAGUAGGGGAUAACACCUGGAAACAGAUGCUAAUACCGUAUAACAGAGAAAACCGCAUGGUUUUCUUUUAAAAGAUGGCUCUGCUAUCACUUCUGGAUGGACCCGCGGCGUAUUAGCUAGUUGGUGAGGUAAAGGCUCACCAAGGCAGUGAUACGUAGCCGACCUGAGAGGGUAAUCGGCCACAUUGGGACUGAGACACGGCCCAGACUCCUACGGGAGGCAGCAGUAGGGAAUCUUCCACAAUGGACGCAAGUCUGAUGGAGCAACGCCGCGUGAGUGAAGAAGGGUUUCGGCUCGUAAAGCUCUGUUGUUAAAGAAGAACGUGGGUAAGAGUAACUGUUUACCCAGUGACGGUAUUUAACCAGAAAGCCACGGCUAACUACGUGCCAGCAGCCGCGGUAAUACGUAGGUGGCAAGCGUUAUCCGGAUUUAUUGGGCGUAAAGCGAGCGCAGGCGGUCUUUUAAGUCUAAUGUGAAAGCCUUCGGCUCAACCGAAGAAGUGCAUUGGAAACUGGGAGACUUGAGUGCAGAAGAGGACAGUGGAACUCCAUGUGUAGCGGUGAAAUGCGUAGAUAUAUGGAAGAACACCAGUGGCGAAGGCGGCUGUCUGGUCUGCAACUGACGCUGAGGCUCGAAAGCAUGGGUAGCGAACAGGAUUAGAUACCCUGGUAGUCCAUGCCGUAAACGAUGAUUACUAAGUGUUGGAGGGUUUCCGCCCUUCAGUGCUGCAGCUAAACGCAUUAAGGUAAUCCGCCUGGGGAGUACGACCGCCAGGUUGAAACUCAAAAGAAUUGACGGGGGCCCGCACAAGCGUUGGAGCAUGUGGUUUAAUUCGAAGCUACGCGAAGAACUUACCAGGUCUUGACAUCUUCUGACAGUCUAAGAAUUUAGAGGUUCCCUUCGGGACCGAAUGAAAGUGGUGCAUGCUUUCGUCAGCUCUGGUCGGGGAAUUUGGGUUAAAUCCCCAACGAGCCAACCCCUUAUACUAGUUGCAAGCUUUAAAUUGGGCCCUUAAGUAGACUGCGGGUCCAAAACGGGGG